CGAGCUAUACCUAAGUGGGGUAUUUCAUUUACAUUGAAAUUUUGUCGUGCAAUUCGUCGUAGUUUGA
RNAcentral lists this transfer RNA (67 nucleotides) under Serritermes serrifer. RNAcentral's name for it is "tRNA-Val". Lineage: Eukaryota; Metazoa; Arthropoda; Insecta; Blattodea; Serritermitidae. The record is from RNAcentral.